This 465-nucleotide ribosomal RNA is filed under the name uncultured bacterium. RNAcentral's name for it is "partial 16S ribosomal RNA". It matches the Rfam family "Bacterial small subunit ribosomal RNA", at positions 338 to 795 of the family's 1533-position model. The record is from RNAcentral.
CCUACGGGAGGCAGCAGUAGGGAAUCUUCCACAAUGGGCGAAAGCCUGAUGGAGCAACGCCGCGUGGGUGAAGAAGGUCUUCGGAUCGUAAAACCCUGUUGUUAGAGAAGAAAGGGCGUGAGAGUAACUGUUCACGUUUCGACGGUAUCUAACCAGAAAGCCACGGCUAACUACGUGCCAGCAGCCGCGGUAAUACGUAGGUGGCAAGCGUUAUCCGGAUUUAUUGGGCGUAAAGGGAACGCAGGCGGUCUUUUAAGUCUGAUGUGAAAGCCUUCGGCUUAACCGGAGUAGUGCAUUGGAAACUGGGAGACUGGAGUGCAGAAGAGGAGAGUGGAACUCCAUGUGUAGCGGUGAAAUGCGUAGAUAUAUGGAAGAACACCAGUGGCGAAAGCGGCUCUCUGGUCUGUAACUGACGCUGAGGUUCGAAAGCGUGGGUAGCAAACAGGAUUAGAUACCCGUGUAGUC